UUUGCGUCGAAGGUAUACCGGUAAGGAGUGCUGGAGCGAAUAGAAGUGAGCAUGCAGGCAUGAGUAGCGAUAAUUAAUGUGAGAAUCAUUAACGCCGUAAACCCAAGGUUUCCUACGCGAUGCUCGUCAUCGUAGGGUUAGUCGGGUCCUAAGUCGAGUCCGAAAGGGGUAGACGAUGGCAAAUUGGUUAAUAUUCCAAUACCAACAUUAGUGUGCGAUGGAAGGACGCUUAGGGCUAAGGGGGCUAGCGGAUGGAAGUGCUAGUCUAAGGUUGUAGGAGGUUAUACAGGCAAAUCCGUAUAACAAUACUCCGAGAACUGAAAGGCUUUUUGAAGUCUUCGGAUGGAUAGAAGAACCCCUGAUGCCGUCGAGCCAAGAAAAGUUUCUAAGUUUAGCUAAUGUUGCCCGUACCGUAAACCGACACAGGUGGGUGGGAUGAGUAUUCUAAGGCGCGUGGAAGAACUCUCUUUAAGGAACUCUGCAAAAUAGCACCGUAUCUUCGGUAUAAGGUGUGGUUAGCUUCGUACUAGGAUUUACUCCGAAAGCGAAGAAACUUACAACAAAGAGUCCCUCCCGACUGUUUACCAAAAACACAGCACUCUGCUAACUCGUAAGAGGAUGUAUAGGGUGUGACGCCUGCCCGGUGCUCGAAGGUUAAUUGAUGGGGUUAGCAUUAGCGAAGCUCUUGAUCGAAGCCCGAGUAAACGGCGGCCGUAACUAUAACGGUCCUAAGGUAGCGAAAUUCCUUGUCGGUUAAAUACCGACCUGCAUGAAUGGCGUAACGAGAUGGGAGCUGUCUCAAAGAGGGAUCCAGUGAAAUUGUAGUGGAGGUGAAAAUUCCUCCUACCCGCGGCAAGACGGAAAGACCCCGUGGACCUUUACUACAGCUUGACACUGCUACUUGGAUAAGAAUGUGCAGGAUAGGUGGGAGGCUUUGAGUAUAUGACGCCAGUUGUAUAUGAGCCAUUGUUGAGAUACCACUCUUUCUUAUUUGGGUAGCUAACCAGCUUGAGUUAUCCUCAAGUGGGACAAUGUCUGGUGGGUAGUUUGACUGGGGCGGUCGCCUCCCAAAUAAUAACGGAGGCUUACAAAGGUUGGCUCAGAACGGUUGGAAAUCGUUCGUAGAGUAUAAAGGUAUAAGCCAGCUUAACUGCAAGACAUACAAGUCAAGCAGAGACGAAAGUCGGUCUUAGUGAUCCGGUGGUUCUGUGUGGAAGGGCCAUCGCUCAAAGGAUAAAAGGUACCCCGGGGAUAACAGGCUGAUCUCCCCCAAGAGCUCACAUCGACGGGGAGGUUUGGCACCUCGAUGUCGGCUCAUCGCAUCCUGGGGCUGGAGCAGGUCCCAAGGGUAUGGCUGUUCGCCAUUUAAAGCGGUACGCGAGCUGGGUUCAGAACGUCGUGAGACAGUUCGGUCCCUAUCUGCCGUGGGCGUAAGAAGAUUGAAGAGAUUUGACCCUAGUACGAGAGGACCGGGUUGAACAAACCACUGGUGUAGCUGUUGUUCUGCCAAGAGCAUCGCAGCGUAGCUAAGUUUGGAAAGGAUAAACGCUGAAAGCAUCUAAGCGUGAAGCCAACUCUAAGAUGAAUCUUCUCUAAGCUCUCUAGAAGACUACUAGUUUGAUAGGCUGGGUGUGUAAUGGAUGAAAGUCCUUUAGCUGACCAGUACUAAUAGAGCGUUUGGCUUAUCUUU
RNAcentral lists this ribosomal RNA (1690 nucleotides) under Campylobacter jejuni. RNAcentral's name for it is "partial 23S ribosomal RNA". It matches the Rfam family "Bacterial large subunit ribosomal RNA", at positions 1244 to 2925 of the family's 2925-position model. The record is from RNAcentral. Lineage: Bacteria; Pseudomonadati; Campylobacterota; Epsilonproteobacteria; Campylobacterales; Campylobacteraceae.